RNAcentral lists this ribosomal RNA (799 nucleotides) under uncultured Glomus. Its description in RNAcentral is "SSU rRNA". It matches the Rfam family "Eukaryotic small subunit ribosomal RNA", at positions 314 to 1114 of the family's 1831-position model. Lineage: Eukaryota; Fungi; Glomeromycota; Glomeromycetes; Glomerales; Glomeraceae. The record is from RNAcentral.
AUCAACUUUCGAUGGUAGGAUAGAGGCCUACUAUGGUGGUGACGGGUGACGGAGAAUUAGGGUUCGAUUCCGGAGAGGGAGCCUGAGAAACGGCUACCACAUCCAAGGAUGGCAGCAGGCGCGCAAAUUACCCAAUCCCGACACGGGGAGGUAGUGACAAUAAAUAACAAUACGGGGUUCUUUCGGAUCUCGUAAUUGGAAUGAGUACAAUUUAAAUCUCUUAACGAGGAACAAUUGGAGGGCAAGUCUGGUGCCAGCAGCCGCGGUAAUUCCAGCUCCAAUAGCGUAUAUUAAAGUUGUUGCAGUUAAAAAGCUCGUAGUUGAAUUUCGGGGUUAGUAGGCUGGUCAUGCCACCGGUAUGUACUGGUCUUACUGAUUCCUCCUUCCUGAUGAACUGUAAUGCCAUUAAUUUGGUGUUGCAGGGAAUCUGGACUGUUACUUUGAAAAAAUUAGAGUGUUUAAAGCAGGCUAACGCUUGAAUACAUUAGCAUGGAAUAAUGAAAUAGGACGUUCGAUCCUAUUUUGUUGGUUUCUAGGAUUGACGUAAUGAUUAAUAGGGAUAGUUGGGGGCAUUAGUAUUCAAUUGUCAGAGGUGAAAUUCUUGGAUUUAUUGAAGACUAACUACUGCGAAAGCAUUUGCCAAGGAUGUUUUCAUUAAUCGAGAACGAAAGUUAGGGGAUCGAAGACGAUCAGAUACCGUCGUAGUCUUAAUCAUAAACUAUGCCAACUAGGGAUCGGAUGAUGUUAAUUUUUUAAUGACUCAUUCGGCGUCUUACGGGAAACCAAAGUGUUUGGGUUC